ACUGACUUCCUUUUGAUAGUACUGCGUGAUGUGUUUCAGGCUUAUCCUGAAGUUCACAUUGUUCUUAUGUCUGCUACUAUUGAUACCAACAUGUUCUGUGAAUAUUUCUUCAAUUGCCCCAUCAUUGAAGUUUAUGGGAGGACUUAACCAAUUGAAGAUGAAGUCUAGCUCUGUUGCCCAGGCUGGAGUGCAGUGGUGCAGUCUCAGCUCACUGCAAUCUCGUCCUCCCAGGUUCAUGUGAUUUUCCUGCCUCAGCCUCCUGAGCAGCUAGGAUUACAGACACACACCACCACACCCAGCUAGUUUUUGUAUUUUUAGUAGAGAUGGGCUUUCACCAUGUUGGUCACGGUGGUCUUGAGCUGCUGACCUUGUGAUCUGCCCAUAUCAGCCUCCCAAAGUGCUGGGAUUACAGGCGUUUACCACCGCGCCUGGCCUUGGGAGCUCAGUUUCUUACUACUAGAAAGAGAAGUUAAACCUAAGUGGGAUUGCCAGAACAAAGCAUAGGGUACCGGAUUAUACUCAAAGAGAUCAGCAUGAACUUGUGUUCAGCUAAAUGGAGAUACAAAUGGAAUAUUUUCUGGAAGACUGCAUUCGGAUGACCCACUUUGUUCCUCCACCAAAAGACAAGAAGAAGAAGGAUAAGGAUGAUGAUGGUGGUGAGGAUGAUUAUGAAAAUUGCAACUUGAUCUGUGGUGAUGAAUAUGGUCCAGAAACAAGGUUGAGCAGGUCUCAAUUGAACGAAAAGGAAACUCCCUUUUAAUUCAUCAAAGCUCUACUUAAGUACAUUGAAACUCUUAACGUUUCCGGAGCUGUUGUUUUGUUUUGUUUUGUUUUGUUUUGUUUUUUUGCCUGUCUGGAAUUUGAUUUAUACUGUGAAGAAGCAUUUGGAAAUGAAUCCACAUUUUGAUUCCUCCAGAGCAACAGCGCAAAGUGUU
This 935-nucleotide long non-coding RNA is filed under the name Homo sapiens (human). RNAcentral's name for it is "non-protein coding lnc-OR4C13-9:3". The record is from RNAcentral. Lineage: Eukaryota; Metazoa; Chordata; Mammalia; Primates; Hominidae.